CGGGAGAAAGUUGCAAAGCACUUUGAAGAGAGAGUUAAAGAGGACGUGAAACCGGUAAGAUGGAAACGGAUAGAGCCAGCGAAGUCGCUUGUAUUCAGCCAAAGACUCGGAGCUGUCCGCCGUCGUGUUUCUAAUAGAGCAUGGCGGUUGGCGUGCUCCGUUUUGAGGUGCAUUUGCGGGCGUUUGCGCUGAGACUUGCGGAGCAGCUUCUGGAACUUCGACUAGAGGCUUCCCUUUGGGUAGUACCUGGUCGCUGGUACAGUUGUUUGCUCUGUUCGUACCCGGACCUGGCUUACGGAGUCUGGUGGUGCCGUUGUCUUCUCGCGGUGGUAUCGCAUGCGAUGCCUAGCUUGGAGGCUUCGGUUCUGCUAGUAUUCCUCUGGUCCGCUCUCGGUGUAGAAGCUGGUUAUCUCUCCGACCCGUCUUGAAACACGGACCAAGGAGUUUAGCGUAUGCGCGAGCCAUUGGGUGCAAAACUCACAGGCAGAAUGAAAGUAAAGGUCCAGUUGCUGGACUGACAUGCGAACGUCAAGGCUCCGGCCCUGGUGUGCAGCAUGGUCCCUUUGCAGUCGCUUGCGACGCAGCGGAGACAGAGCGUAUGCGCUGAGACCCGAAAGAUGGUGAACUAUUCCUGAGCAGGACGAAGCCAGAGGAAACUCUGGUGGAAGUCCGAAGCGAUUCUGACGUGCAAAUCGAUCGUCUGACUUGGGUAUAGGGGCGAAAGACUAAUCGAACCAUCUAGUAGCUGUUUCCUUUUCCGAA
RNAcentral lists this ribosomal RNA (762 nucleotides) under Hemicycliophora sp. QDH2.3. RNAcentral's name for it is "partial large subunit ribosomal RNA". It matches the Rfam family "Eukaryotic large subunit ribosomal RNA", at positions 354 to 965 of the family's 3401-position model. Lineage: Eukaryota; Metazoa; Nematoda; Chromadorea; Rhabditida; Hemicycliophoridae. The record is from RNAcentral.